GAUCAUGGCUCAGGAUGAACGCUGGCGGCAUGCCUAAUACAUGCAAGUCGAACGAGAGGAAGGAAAGCUUGCUUUUCUGAAUCUAGUGGCGAACGGGUGAGUAACACGUAGGUAACCUGCCCAUGUGCCCGGGAGUAACUUCUGGAAACGGAUGCUAAAACCGGAUAGGUAGCAGACAAGCAUUUGACUGCUAUUAAAGUGGCCUUGGCCAUGAACAUGGAUGGACCUGCGGUG
RNAcentral lists this ribosomal RNA (234 nucleotides) under uncultured bacterium. RNAcentral describes it as "partial 16S ribosomal RNA". It matches the Rfam family "Bacterial small subunit ribosomal RNA", at positions 15 to 238 of the family's 1533-position model. The record is from RNAcentral.